This 98-nucleotide microRNA precursor is filed under the name Callithrix jacchus (white-tufted-ear marmoset). RNAcentral's name for it is "microRNA cja-mir-96 precursor". Its record names the gene cja-mir-96. The stretch from base 13 to 88 matches the Rfam family "mir-96 microRNA precursor family". The record is from miRBase by way of RNAcentral. Lineage: Eukaryota; Metazoa; Chordata; Mammalia; Primates; Cebidae.
GUGUCAUCUGCUUGGCCGAUUUUGGCACUAGCACAUUUUUGCUUUUCUCUCCGCUCUGAGCAAUCAUGUGCAGUGCCAAUAUGGGAAAAGCAGGAUGC